Molecule: ribosomal RNA, 298 nt
Filed under: uncultured Pseudomonadota bacterium
Lineage: Bacteria; Pseudomonadati; Pseudomonadota
Description: uncultured proteobacterium partial 16S ribosomal RNA
Rfam family: Bacterial small subunit ribosomal RNA
Source: RNAcentral
AACGAACGCUGGCGGCAGGCCUAACACAUGCAAGUCGAACGCUCGUAGCAAUACGGGAGUGGCAGACGGGUGAGUAACGCGUGGGAACGUACCCUUUGGUUCGGAACAACUCCGGGAAACUGGAGCUAAUACCGGAUGAGCCCUACGGGGGGAAAGAUUUAUCGCCGAAGGAUCGGCCCGCGUCGGAUUAGCUAGUUGGUGAGGUAACGGCUCACCAAGGCAACGAUCCGUAGCUGGUCUGAGAGGAUGAUCAGCCACACUGGGACUGAGACACGGCCCAGACACCUACGGGAGGCUG